AAAAUAUAAUUAAAUAUUUCCAUAAAUAUCUAAUUAAACCAACCAAUAACAUAAUAAUUAAACCGUAAGUCAGAAAUACUAUUUUAUGAAUAAAUAAAUAAUUCGAUCAACAAAACCAAGAAUAACUGACAAUCCUAACCGGGUUCCAAUAACCAAAAACACCAAACAUAAAACAAACGAGUUCCUAGAUCAUCCUCUCUUCCUUGCCAUGAUUCCACAAUCACACUUUAUCUUUACCUGCAUCAACAACACAAUGAGAUGCGUAAGUAUUAUCAUAAAUACUUAGUGAGGCGAUCCUCUCAUCUACGAGCUAUACACACAAGCAAAUAAAAAGGUAUAAUCACGAAUACAAUACAAACAAACCAGUCAUUGAACAAUUCACCCAAAACACAUUCACCACACCUACAUAUCAUCACACAAAACAAAUCACACAACCCAAUCGUUCAGAUAAGCUCAUGGUCACGCACUCACCUUAACAAAUUGAUUCUAAUAGCAAUUAAACCCAGGAGAGACUUUCCUUGCGUCUGAAACAGUCCAGAAACGUCCGUUAACUAUUCAAUCGCUCCGGUGAAAUCCUAGCUGCAGACGUCACAAAGCUGCCCACAAAAUCUCGUGCCGAUCGGAAAACAGACGAGACCACGAUCUCAGUUUCAAUCUCCGCUGGUCCUAAUUCGCGUAUGAGAAAACGUGUCUCACGAAACUGCGAAUAACUCAACCAAUUUUAAUCCAAAUCCAAUUCUGUAAACUGGAGAAUAACGAUAAAGGACUUGGGAAUAACUCUACCAAAUUUCGUUACCUUUUACCACGAUUUGAUAUGACGAAACUGAUUUCUCCCAAACCCUAACGAUUCUGCUCCUUCUCCUUUUCUCUCUUUUUCUCCUUUAUAAAACGAAAAGUGGCUAACCAAAGCCCUAAUCUCGAGUUUCCUUCUUUUAUAGGCACACUCUAGGGUUUCCAAUUAACCCAACCAAUUAAACCGGAUGAUUUAAAAAACAAAUCCUAACCGAUUUUCCGGUUCACGGGCGUUACAAAGAGUAUUGUUGCAAAAGGGUAGUAAAAAAAGGUUAAUUUUGCAAAUCUACCAACGUACUUUAAGAAAGUACUUUAACAAACCAAGCUUACAGGGUCGCGUCAAGAUGGCCUGGAAGAUAAAUUUACCUGGCCUCCAUGUCUACAGCAUGCAUUAAUUGAAUCU
This 1195-nucleotide small RNA is filed under the name Arabidopsis thaliana (thale cress). Its description in RNAcentral is "ATSL153730". Lineage: Eukaryota; Viridiplantae; Streptophyta; Magnoliopsida; Brassicales; Brassicaceae. The record is from RNAcentral.